Molecule: long non-coding RNA, 617 nt
Organism: Oreochromis aureus
Lineage: Eukaryota; Metazoa; Chordata; Actinopteri; Cichliformes; Cichlidae
Source: Ensembl
GGACGAUGAAGAUGGAGCUGCCAAGCAGGAGAAAAGGAGGAAGAUCUCAGAUGAGUUCAUGGAUGAAGGAGGACAUGCAGAGGGUUGGCGUGACAGAGGAGGAUGCUGGGAUAGGAGGAGAUGGAGGAGAUAAUCAGCUGUGGUGGCCUCUAAAGGGAGCAGCAGCUGCUGCUGGUAGCUUCAUGCUUUCCCCUGCAGACUUGACAGCUGUCGGUAUCUUGUCAUCUGACUCAAUGCAGACAGCAGUCCCUGUGAGGCCCGGCUCAGUGACACCCACGCCUGGCUGCAUUUGUCCAGGUAUGACCCAAGAUUUACGCCUUUGUUUGAACCACCAGUGCUUUUCUAAAAGAUUAUGAUGUGCGUGCUCUCAGCUUGUUUCCAACUCAAGAAAAACAGAAGAGCCACAGGAAGACAUGCACCUGCGACGACCACGAAGAAGAUGUGAUGUCACCGUAGCUGCUGUACUGUCGACUGCUGAGUCCCGCUUUGAAGACUGAAGAUGGCCGUUUCCCCCGUCGACAUCUUGGUUGCACAAAAACUAGAUGAGGCAAGAAAGGUCAAAGGUCAGUCUUCUGAGGAUGCCGACGUUCACAUUUUGGACUGACGUUUGAGAGAGG